GACGAACGCUGGCGGCGUGCUUAACACAUGCAAGUCGAACGGAAAGGCCCUGCUUUUGUGGGGUGCUCGAGUGGCGAACGGGUGAGUAACACGUGAGUAACCUGCCCUUGACUUUGGGAUAACUUCAGGAAACUGGGGCUAAUACCGGAUAGGAGCUCCUGCUGCAUGGUGGGGGUUGGAAAGUUUCGGCGGUUGGGGAUGGACUCGCGGCUUAUCAGCUUGUUGGUGGGGUAGUGGCUUACCAAGGCUUUGACGGGUAGCCGGCCUGAGAGGGUGACCGGCCACAUGGGGACUGAGAGACGGCCCAGACUCCUACGGGAGGCAGCAGUGGAGAAUAUUGCACAGUGGGCGGAAGCCUGAUGCAGCAACGCCGCGUGCGGGAUGACGGCCUUCGGGUUGUAAACCGCUUUCGCCUGUGACGAAGCGUGAGUGACGGUAAUGGGUAAAGAAGCACCGGCUAACUACGUG
Molecule: ribosomal RNA, 468 nt
Filed under: uncultured bacterium
Lineage: Bacteria
Description: partial 16S ribosomal RNA
Rfam family: Bacterial small subunit ribosomal RNA
Source: RNAcentral